This 1439-nucleotide ribosomal RNA is filed under the name uncultured bacterium. Its description in RNAcentral is "bacterial SSU rRNA". It matches the Rfam family "Bacterial small subunit ribosomal RNA". The record is from RNAcentral.
AGGGUUUGAUCAUGGCUCAGAACGUACGCUGGCGGCACGCCUAACACAUGCAAGUCGAACGAAGUAGCAAUACUUAGUGGCAGACGGGUGAGUAACAUGUGGGUAUCUGCCCUUUGGCCUGGAAUAACACGAGGAAACUUGUGCUAAUACCGGAUAAGUCUUUACGGAGAAAGCUUUAUGCACCAUUGGAUGAGCCCGCACUUGAUUAGUUUGUUGGUGGGGUAAUGGCCUACCAAGACUGUGAUCAAUAGCUGAUUUGAGAGGAUGAUCAGCCACAUUGGGACUGAGACACGGCCCAAACUCCUACGGGAGGCAGCAGUGGGGAAUCUUGCACAAUGGAGGAAACUCUGAUGCAGCGAUGCCGCGUGAGUGAAGAAGGCCCUUGGGUUGUAAAGCUCUUUCGUCGGGGAAGAAAAUGACUGUACCCGAAUAAGAAGGUCCGGCUAACUUCGUGCCAGCAGCCGCGGUAAUACGAAGGGACCUAGCGUAGUUCGGAAUUACUGGGCUUAAAGAGUUCGUAGGUGGUUGAAAAAGUUAGUGGUGAAAUCCCAGAGCUUAACUCUGGAACUGCCAUUAAAACUUUUCAGCUAGAGUAUGAUAGAGGAAAGCAGAAUUUCUAGUGUAGAGGUGAAAUUCGUAGAUAUUAGAAAGAAUACCAAUUGCGAAGGCAGCUUUCUGGAUCAUUACUGACACUGAGGAACGAAAGCAUGGGUAGCGAAGAGGAUUAGAUACCCUCGUAGUCCAUGCCGUAAACGAUGUGUGUUAGACGUUGGAAAUUUAUUUUCAGUGUCGCAGCGAAAGCGAUAAACACACCGCCUGGGGAGUACGACCGCAAGGUUAAAACUCAAAUGAAUUGACGGGGACCCGCACAAGUAGUGGAGCAUGUGGUUUAAUUCGAAGAUACGCGCAGAACCUUACCAACACUUGACAUGUUCGUCGCGACUCUAAGAGAUUAGAGUUUUCGGUUCGGCCGGACGAAACACAGGUGCUGCAUGGCUGUCGUCAGCUCGUGUCGUGAGAUGUUGGGUUAAGUCCCGCAACGAGCGCAACCCUCACUUUUAGUUGCCAUCAUUAAGUUGGGCACUCUGAAAGAACUGCCAGUGAUAAGCUGGAGGAAGGUGGGGAUGACGUCAAGUCCUCAUGGCCCUUACGUGUUGGGCUACACACGUGCUACAAUGGUAUCUACAACAGGAAGCAAGACUGCGAGGUCAAGCAAAUCCUUAAAAGAUACCUCAGUUCGGAUUGCACUCUGCAACUCGAGUGCAUGAAGCUGGAAUUACUAGUAAUCGUGGAUCAGCGUGCCACGGUGAAUGCGUUCCCGGGUCUUGUACACACCGCCCUUCACACCAUGGGAGUUGGUUCUACCUUAAGGCAAGGUUUCAAACCCUUGACCACGGUAUAGUCAGCGACUGGGGUGAAGUCGUAACAAGGUAGCCGUA